RNAcentral lists this non-coding RNA (1051 nucleotides) under Pan troglodytes (chimpanzee). Lineage: Eukaryota; Metazoa; Chordata; Mammalia; Primates; Hominidae. The record is from RNAcentral.
CAGGCUCUGGCGGGGAUAGAACCCUGAAGGGCCUGCGCCAGCUCCAACUUAGGGCCCUGUGCGUCGUUGCGACUGCCGCUACCACCCCAUCACGCGGCACCCCCGCCCCAACUCCGCCCGGGUCUCUGAAGAGGCAAUAGGCCUUUCAUCUCCGGGGAAAGUCUCACCUUGGCCCUCAGACACCCGCCAAGAGGGGUCGGAAGGACAGAAUUAGCAUACAGAAGAGGGGCUAGAGCACUUUGCAGGCUCUGGCCCCAGGAAUCCUUGACAGGAAGCGUGGGGUUGCUGCCCAGCCUCCCACGCAGUGUAAUAUAUUGAAGCCGGGCCCCUUUGAGGGAAUGCGACUUCCUUGGGCCGAGGGGGAAAGGGCAGUGCCUGAUGGCUGAGAAGAAUCGCAGAGGACUAGAAAAGGUUUGAGUCUGAAAUUAUCUGGCACAGAGGAUUAGAGCUCAGAAAUAAGUGAUUGCGAAACAGUUCAACUUCCCUGUUAAUGACAACAACAACAACAGCAACACGCUUAUUAAUUCCUAGCUGGAGCAUCAAGCUUAUGAAGAUUUCCAAGUAAGACUUUAUUGUUGACCCUUGUUGAAGAGAACUCUACUUGGCUUCUUUCCUGGCUUUCCUAAAUUGUUCACAUACAAGAUAAACUACCGUCAUUCAGACUUACAGAAGUGAGAAGACAAGCUGAACCAAAUGUAAAAUGGUAGCAAUUUACAGAUGUCAGAACUAACAUGUGGAUGAACUUAGAGAUGGAGAAGAAAGCUGGGCUUUUCCAAAGAGUGGAUCUAUCUGAACUGGAUAGCACUAUUGAACUUUGUUGCAUAUUUUGUGGUAGCUCUAAAACUCCUCUGCUUGCUUACAUACAACCAGACACCAGUGCCUUCUGAAGCUAAUCCAGGCCAUUUUUAUAACCUAAUGCAGUAGCACUUUGCAAUUAGAUGAAGAAGAUCGGUGGGAUUUCUUUCUGUGGUGAUUAAAAUGUGUCAGGGGAAGAAAUCAAGACAAUACUCCAAGUGAAAAAUAUAAAGUCAGUUAUUUCUUUAAUAUUUUG